Molecule: ribosomal RNA, 1620 nt
Filed under: Triticum aestivum (bread wheat)
Lineage: Eukaryota; Viridiplantae; Streptophyta; Magnoliopsida; Poales; Poaceae
Description: partial small subunit ribosomal RNA
Source: RNAcentral
GGUACGGGAGAGAGUUUUGCACCACGCGCCAUGGCGGACGACGGCAUGGAUCCCACCCAGUACUACCACAACAGGCUCGGCGCGCUCGCCGCGCAGAAGGCCGCCGGCGUCAACCCCUACCCGCACGCCUUCCAGCCCACCGCCUCCGUCGCCGACUACGUCCACAGGUACAGGGGCCUGGCCGAUGGGGAGAAGCUGGUCGACGUCACCGAGUCCCUGGCCGGGAGGAUCAUGAGCAAGAGGACGUCGUCCUCCAGCCUCCUCUUCUACUACCUCCACCGCGGCGGCGCCAAGGUCCAGGUCAUGGCAGACUCCGGGACCUCGGAGCUGGAGACUCCCGAGGAAUUCUCCGCUUUCCACUCUGGCGUGAAGCUUGGCGACGUGGUCGACGUGCGUGGGUUCCCUGGUAAAAGCAACCGAGGCGAGCUCAGCAUAUUCCCUACACAGUUUGUCGUGCUCUCGCCCUGCCUGCACAUGCUGCCGCGGCAGCCUAAUAGGCACCGGCGCGCGCCGCCGCUGCCGUGGGCGCCCGGCAUGCCCAGGAACAUGGAGAGCUACGCCCUCAAGGACCAGGAGACACGGUACCGCCGACGGUACCUCGAUCUCAUGGUGAACCCUGAGGUGAGGUCCGUCUUCACGGCGCGAGCCAGAGUCGUCUCCUUCAUCCGGAGCUUCCUUGACAAGCGUGGGUUUUUGGAGGUGGACACCCCGAUGAUGAACGUGGUUGCCGGUGGCGCCGCCGCCAGGCCGUUCGUCACGCACCACAACGACCUGAACAUGAAGUUGUACAUGCGCAUCGCGCCAGAGCUCUACCUGAAGCAGCUCGUCAUCGGCGGACUGGACCGCGUGUACGAGAUCGGGAGGCAGUUCAGGAACGAAGGCAUCGACAUGACGCACAACCCCGAGUUCACGACGUGCGAGUUCUACAUGGCCUAUGCGGACUACAACGACCUGAUGGAGCUCACGGAGGAGAUGCUGGGCGGCAUGGUGAAGGAGCUCACGGGCGGCUACAAGGUACAGUACCACGCCAACGGCGCCGACAAGCCGCCUAUCGAGAUCGAUUUUACUCCUCCGUUCGCGCGGAUCAACAUGAUCAAGGGACUGGAGGACAUGGCCGAUCUCAACAUACCGGAGGAGGAUCUGUCGACCGAUGAUGCCAACGAGUACUUGAUGGAGGCUUGUGCCAGGUACGACAUUACGUGCCCGCUUCCACACACGACGGCACGGCUGCUGGACACGGAGACAUGCGUGAACCCGACGUUCAUCAUCAACCAUCCGGUGAUCAUGAGCCCACUCGCAAAGUCACACAGGGACGAAGCCCGGCCUGGACUGACUGAAAGGUUUGAGCUGAUCAACAAGCAUGAGGUGUGCAACGCCUACACGGAGCUGAAUGACCCGGUCGUGCAGAGGGAGCGGUUUGAGGAGCAGCUCAGGGAUCGUCAGGACGGUGACGAUGAAGCGAUGGCCAUGGACGAAACCUUCUGCACUGCCCUUGAGUAUGGCCUGCCGCCGACCGGAGGCUGGGGUCUGGGGAUUGAUCGCCUCACCAUGUUGCUGACGGAUUCCCAGAACAUAAAGGAGGUCCUCCUGUUCCCGGCCAUGAAGCCUCAAGACAGCUAG